Molecule: transfer RNA, 72 nt
Filed under: Daphnia pulex (common water flea)
Lineage: Eukaryota; Metazoa; Arthropoda; Branchiopoda; Diplostraca; Daphniidae
Rfam family: tRNA
About the family: Transfer RNA (tRNA) molecules are approximately 80 nucleotides in length. Their secondary structure includes four short double-helical elements and three loops (D, anti-codon, and T loops). Further hydrogen bonds mediate the characteristic L-shaped molecular structure. tRNAs have two regions of fundamental functional importance: the anti-codon, which is responsible for specific mRNA codon recognition, and the 3' end, to which the tRNAs corresponding amino acid is attached (by aminoacyl-tRNA synthetases). tRNAs cope with the degeneracy of the genetic code in two manners: having more than one tRNA (with a specific anti-codon) for a particular amino acid; and 'wobble' base-pairing, i.e. permitting non-standard base-pairing at the 3rd anti-codon position.
Source: Rfam by way of RNAcentral
UCCCAUAUUGUCUAGUGGUUAGAAUACCUGGCUCUCACCCAGGAGGCCCGGGUUCAAUUCCCGGUAUGGGAA